GAAAAAAGAAAAAAGCCUUUCCUUUUUUUAAUCCUAAUGUAUUCCUUUUCCUCCCUUGUUCUCGCGCGUGAUCAAAGCUAGCCCUUUCUUUCUUCUAUGGAGGACGUGACUUGGUGUACCUAUAUCUCCAGCCAAAGAGUUGAAAGAGUUGGAUGGCUGAGGACGGUCACAGAGUUGUCCUGAAUGUGUAUGAUUUCAGCCAGGGGCUUGCUCGCCAGCUUUCAAUUGACAUUUCUAGGCAAGGCCAUCGAUGCCCAUACGGUAAGCUCCUCUCCCUGCAGAUGCCACCAUGCUCUUUAACUCCAUCUGCAAAUUUGGAUGGAACCGUAGAAUGGCCAGUCACAUUUUCUGAAUUAUUCAUGUGCUAUCACUUAUGAGUUUCUGUCCAAUGGUCAAUGACAGAUGAUGGAUUUAUGCAAAUCUAGCCUUCUGGGUUUUCAUGGUAAUCACAGAAGAGUUCAAAGAACCUGAAAUGCUCUGAAUCUAUCCCUACUGCAUUGGCCAUCAUAGAAAACUGCUUGUCCAAAGACAUAGGAGAAUUAGCAUUCAUUGUUAUGCCUUAGCCAAGUAUCAGAACCCAACCAUGGGACUUACUCACCACCAUAAACUUAGCAAGAAGUUAAUAGCACUGCACGUCUUACUUUCUGUCCCACCUCAGAAUGAUCUUCUACCUCCAUGUACCCAUUAGCCUAUUUUUGUUCGCCUCAUGCUCUCUUUUCUCAAUCUUCAGAAAUAUGUGUCAGAGAUUUGGUAAUUUCCAUGAUAAUAUAAUUAUCUUGAAAGAUUAAUUUGAAUUCCCUAAAUCCUGCCAAACCAAUCUAACAUCCAUGAUUAUGUCGUAUGAUCUUCAGAGUUGCCUAUUUGAAUGAAGUUUAUGGCUGUGGAACGGCAUACAGUUUCUUCUAGAUUUCUUGUUCCUUCUCCUCUUUCCUUCCCUGGUCAGAAUACUUGUUGCAAGUUCAUCGAUCACCAAUCCAUAUGCUUGGUAUUUGCAUUAUUGCAAGCUAUCUCAUCCUUCUGUUUGAUUUCUUUAAUGUGCAAAACAAGUCGCGGAAGGCGCCCAAUGAGAGUCAAAGGUUGAAAAUGUUUUUCCCUGGUUCUCUUUUUUUCUCUUCUGUGAUUUGGGUGUUUAGAAGGCUUUCCUUUUUUCUUGUAGAUCAAACUUCUUCGUCAAAGACUGUAAUGACACACAUUUUGUUUGAACUGUUAUCAUAUGUUGUGUUUCACAUGAUUUGUGCAGCAUAUUGACAAAAAAACUAUUUUAUCAAAGGUGAUAUGGUUUGUAUUUUCAGUCGUAUAUUUUGUUUCACAUGAUUUAUCCUUUAAAUCCAUAUAUAGGUCAGCUGACAUCAGAGUUGCUGUCGAUUAUUACCUGUGAAGGGUCAGGAAGAUGGUUAGUGAACUGUUAGUUUAGGUAAGCUAGAUAUCCUCUCUGUGUAGUUAGGGCCCAUGCCGUAGCAGUCUAUAGUUUUGUGGGCAUAGUCGCAGCUGCCAUGUUACUGCCUUGUUCCGAGCCAAUUGCAAUAAAGGACAUCUACUCAGCCUCUGGUUGGUUAGUUUUUGCCAUGUUGCAUGUGUGUUGCUAUCAGACUCUGGCUUGGCAGCACAGAUUCUUCAUACUCAAAAUAAUAUGCUACAAAAAUUUUGACUUUUUAUAGUUGAUUAUGACGCGUGCAUGCUUAUGCGUAAUGUCAAUCAGCAAACAGAUCAAAUAAUUGCCAGUCCUUUCAAAAUAAGUCAAAUUAUGCCUUAUAUUUGCUUAUGCAUGAUAACAAUAGGCAGCCAGAAAACUUUGCAUAGUUUUUGAAGAUUUCGAUUACUGCUUAUGAAUAAUUUAUGGAGAAUCUUGCCCCUUUCAACAUACUGAGCCCUGUGCUCUAUUUUCCUUUCUUUUCUUUUCUUUUCUUUUGUUCUCAAUCAAAAUCAGUUGUAUUUGUUUGAUUUAAGGUUACAGCCUGCGACAUUGAAAAAAAAAAAAAAAACUCACGAGUCAGGAGGAAAUGCGAUAUAAUGUCUCACAUGUAUUGUCCUGCUGGAGGGUGCUUCUAGUAGUUCGCAGCUGGUGUUUUGCCUUCAGAUUGUCAUCAAGUUUAUAAGUUCUAUUUUGAUGCAUGCCAUAGACUAUUGCUGUUGCAUUUGGAAAUUUUAUUGAACAUGCAUAAGGGACUUGACUUUAAUCUCUAGUACACAUGGGGUGAGACAACCAUUAGAACUUCAAGUCUGAUUCUGAGUUUGUAGCAAGUUAGACUGUCAAACUUUUAUUGAUACCUAGAGAACCCAUAAAGAGGAAGUUUUGUGCAUUGUAUUUGUAUUUACUUUCUUUUUCAUUGUGUUCUGCACUUUCUGCACCGCUCUUUCUUUUAGUCUGUCAUAACCCAGUUCUUUUUUGGGGGCAUGUGGGCUGGCCCGAAGAUGCCAGGCCCAAGCCAAUCGCGCCAAACCCUGUUUCUGCGGGCUUGUAGGCCUGCCCGAAGAGGCCAGGCCCAGCUCGAUUGUGCACAAUGGCACGAUCUAGACGGAUGAGAGACUCCAAUGGGAGUCUGCUUCCUCUCUUGAUUUUGGCGGAGUCGGAGACUCUCCAAGGGCAAUCCGAGUUUGACUUGAACUCUAGGAUAAUGCCUAUUUAAUUCCCCUCUUCCUCCUUUGAAUUCCACCACUGGAAUCGCCGAGGAUCGCCGCCAAUCUCAACCAUCCUUCUCCGAUUCUCCUCCUCGAUUCAAGUUAAUAAGAAACGGAUAAUAUGACAUAAGAAAUUGUUGUUGAACAAUUGGUUAUAUAUAUAUAUAUAUAUAUAUGUAUAUGUAUAUAUAUAUGCUUCUUUGAAAAGAUGAUAAUGAGAACUGAUGUGCAUGUUGUUUAUGAGUUUUCCGACUAUUCAUAUGAUAUUCAGUUAUCUAGCCUUAUUAAUUGACUAUUUUCUUAUUAUUUAUGAUGUAGCAGUUUGGGUUUUUUACUGGGCUGAAAAAGCUCAUAAUUUUCUUACUUUUUUCUCAGAGUCACAAGAGGCAUAGACUCGAAUGGGAGAGAUGUGGAGUUUGUGCAGCUAGUCAUUAGUUAGUUAUUUAUUUAUUUUAUUUUGCUGAAAGUGAUGGAUAUCGAAAAAUUUAUAAUUGAAGUAUUAAAGAAUUAAUGAAAGUGGAUUAGUUUAAUUGUUGGUAUUGUGUGAAUUAUGCCCAUAUGUUAGGCCUAGCAUAUUUUCUAGGGCUUUGCCCUAGGGAGUGUGCAGUCGUCCUGUGUUUCGGACCCGAGUGUUGGAUUCGGGGCGUGACACUGUCUCCCCCCAAUAAUCAUUGCCCAUGAAUUAUUUUGACUUGAUUGCUCUCUCUGGAAACUAACCUAUUCUUAAUUAUCUGUAUAGAUGGAUCCUAAUAGGCAAUUCUCUUCCCUCAUUAUUUUUGCAAUAUGUGAACCAUAACACGCAUUCAGGAGCGGUGGUAUAUGGAUAUGAAUACUCCUUUGUGGGAGGCAUUCAGCGUGAUCCUGCUGGAAUGACACCUUAUGGUGCGCCUGUCCGGGUGAUCGAGCUGGGGGUGACUCACAUGCCUAAGUAUUUGAGGAAUAUUUGCAGGAGAUCGGCCUGCGUUGCACUGCUGAGACCUAUAAACUUACUAAAGUCACAACAGCUGCAAAAAUUUCAGCAAUGAGGUUGCUGAAUUUCUGGUUGGCACCACUAUCCCGGACUCCAUCCUUAAUCUUCCAAAUGAAAGUUAUGAGCAGCCCAAUGGGUCCCCUAAUAUGCAAGAGCAUUUGUAUGGCUUCACAGAUAUCCAUUGCAUUGUGCUGAUAGUUUCUCGCUAAUCUCGAUGCUUUAUUGUUCAUCUGCGGUACAAAUGAUUCAACUGUAGGAAUCAACAUUGAGAGUUGGUGCAGUUCCUCAAGCUCCUCGGUUCGCACCUGCUGCUGCCAUGGCUCAGUCUUAUCAUUUCAAGCCCAAGCAAUCGCGCAAACACUGUGAAACUGGAGAACCAGAAACAGGAGAUGCAGUCCCUCCUGCAGUGGAAUCUGCCACUACACAACAGGAGAAGGAAACCUUCUGCCAGUGGCCCCCUUGGAGAUGCUCAGAGUAGGGUGCAGGAAGAGAUCAUGAAAGAGUUUGCAGCGAUCAUGGCUACUGGAAUGCUUCGUGCUAGCGAGGCAGCGACACUUGCCACAAGGAGAGCAAUGGAGAGGCAUCGGUGCUUAAAUUUGCCCAUGCAGCAUGGUUGAAGAGCCGCAGGUUGCAUUGUUUUUUUUUUCAUAGCAGAAAUUAAUAUCUAAACCGUUCUUUUGCUGCCAGAGAUGUCUGCUGUCUUUCUGGAAUGCGAACCAUGACGGCUUGUAUGCUUUUGCAAACUUUGUCCGCCUGUGGAAUCAAUUAUACUUUUACUGCCAUGGUUCAAUGAAAUAUGAUGUACCAUGUCGAACAAAUGUUGAACUUGUCAUAUUAAUAGUGAAAUAGAAGAAUAAGAGUCUGAGAUAUCUAUCGAUGUUUAUUACUUUGCAUCAAA
Phoenix dactylifera (date palm) is the source of this 4487-nucleotide non-coding RNA. Lineage: Eukaryota; Viridiplantae; Streptophyta; Magnoliopsida; Arecales; Arecaceae. The record is from RefSeq and is a predicted model, not a curated record.